Podarcis lilfordi (Lilford's wall lizard) is the source of this 85-nucleotide non-coding RNA. The record is from the annotation of a GenBank genome assembly. NCBI's taxonomy places the organism in Eukaryota, Metazoa, Chordata, Lepidosauria, Squamata, Lacertidae.
AUCCCACCUUGGCCUUUGGGCUAAGAUCAAGUGUAGUAUCUGUUCUUAUCUGUCUCUUUUUGUUGGUUGGUUUAGAGCACCUUGC